GAUGAACGCUGGCGGCGUGCCUAAUACAUGCAAGUCGAGCGAACAGAUGAGGAGCUUGCUCCUCUGACGUUAGCGGCGGACGGGUGAGUAACACGUGGAUAACCUACCUAUAAGACUUGGAUAACUUCGGGAAACCGGAGCUAAUACCGGAUAAUAUAUUGAACCGCAUGGUUCAAUAGUGAAAUACGGUUUUGCUGUCACUUAUAGAUGGAUCCGCGCCGCAUUAGCUAGUUGGUAAGGUAACGGCUUACCAAGGCAACGAUGCGUAGCCGACCUGAGAGGGUGACCGGCCACACUGGAAGUGAGACACGGUCCAGACUCCUACGGGAGGCAGCAGUAGGGAAUCUUCCGCAAUGGGCGAAAGCUUGACGGAGCAACGCCGCGUGAGUGAUGAAGGUCUUCGGAUCGUAAAACUCUGUUAUUAGGGAAGAACAAAUGUGUAAGUAACUAUGCACGUCUUGACGGUACCUAAUCAGAAAGCCACGGCUAACUACGUG
This 497-nucleotide ribosomal RNA is filed under the name uncultured bacterium. RNAcentral describes it as "partial 16S ribosomal RNA". It matches the Rfam family "Bacterial small subunit ribosomal RNA", at positions 28 to 507 of the family's 1533-position model. The record is from RNAcentral.